AGCGCAGGUGGUUGUAUAAGUCUGAAGUAAAAGGCAGUGGCUCAACCAUUGUGUGCUUUGGAAACUGUACAACUUGAGUGCAGAAGGGGAGAGUGGAAUUCCAUGUGUAGCGGUGAAAUGCGUAGAUAUAUGGAGGAACACCGGUGGCGAAAGCGGCUCUCUGGUCUGUAACUGAUACUGAGGCUGAAAGCGUGGGGAGCAAACA
This 205-nucleotide ribosomal RNA is filed under the name uncultured bacterium. Its description in RNAcentral is "partial 16S ribosomal RNA". It matches the Rfam family "Bacterial small subunit ribosomal RNA", at positions 568 to 774 of the family's 1533-position model. The record is from RNAcentral.